RNAcentral lists this transfer RNA (74 nucleotides) under archaeon. RNAcentral describes it as "tRNA-Ile". It matches the Rfam family "tRNA". Rfam says of the family: Transfer RNA (tRNA) molecules are approximately 80 nucleotides in length. RNAcentral also lists the same sequence under 1 other name. The record is from RNAcentral.
GGUCCCGUGGCUCAGCUGGUUAGAGCGCUGGUCUUAUAAGCCAGAGGUCGCGAGUCCGACUCUCGCCGGGACCA